AUGGCGCGCGGCAGCGAGGACGUGUUCACGUACGACAUCGGCGAGAAGGAAGACGGCGCGCCAACGAUCAUCGCCGCCCAUCCGCUCAAUGUCCAAAUGCGCCAUGGCCCCGGACCCAUGGGCAGGGGCUCCUAUGAUUGCGCUAGCUACAUCUUCGAUCUGCAUGGUAAGCUGGCCAUGGCGGUGAUGAUCAAGUGGUGCGGAAACGGCCAACCUUUCUUCAAGGUGUUCGAGCUCGCUGAAGCCGAUGAAGCUGACAGUGAUGACUUACACGACUACAAGUGGGUGGAGGUGCAUAGCUUGGGCGACUACGCAUUGUUCUUGGGGCUAGCCUCCUCCUCCAGAGCGGUGCACGUGCCCGGUGCCGGCCGCGGUGGCGUAAACAAAAACCAUAUCUACUACUCAAACCAUCGAUGCCUAUCCAUCAACACAGAUAAGAAGUUCGACGGAAAAGCAUACCUGACGAGAUCUAUAGGUCGCGACCGGAUGUAUUGCAAGGAAGAUCAAGACGCCGACUAUGGCGUGGAGAAGAUCCCUUCACUAGGACACCACGUUAUUGGUGGCCCUUACCCUCCUGUCUGGUGCUUACCUCCCGACUUUUAG
This 603-nucleotide ribosomal RNA is filed under the name Triticum aestivum (bread wheat). RNAcentral describes it as "partial small subunit ribosomal RNA". Lineage: Eukaryota; Viridiplantae; Streptophyta; Magnoliopsida; Poales; Poaceae. The record is from RNAcentral.